RNAcentral lists this ribosomal RNA (400 nucleotides) under Serratia marcescens. RNAcentral describes it as "bacterial SSU rRNA". It matches the Rfam family "Bacterial small subunit ribosomal RNA", at positions 40 to 442 of the family's 1533-position model. Lineage: Bacteria; Pseudomonadati; Pseudomonadota; Gammaproteobacteria; Enterobacterales; Yersiniaceae. The record is from RNAcentral.
CGGCAGGCUUAACACAUGCAGUCGAGCGGUAGCACGGGGGAGCUUGCUCCCCGGGUGACGAGCGGCGGACGGGUGAGUAAUGUCUGGGAACUGCCUGAUGGAGGGGGAUAACUACUGGAAACGGUAGCUAAUACCGCAUAACGUCGAAGACCAAAGAGGGGGACCUUCGGGCCUCUUGCCAUCAGAUGUGCCCAGAUGGGAUUAGCUAGUAGGUGGGUAAUGGCUCACCUAGGCGACGAUCCCUAGCUGGUCUGAGAGGAUGACCAGCCACACGGAACUGAGACACGGUCCAGACUCCUACGGGAGGCAGCAGUGGGGAAUAUUGCACAAUGGGCGCAAGCUGAUGCAGCCAUGCCGCGUGUGUGAAGAAGGCCUUCGGGUUGUAAAGCACUUUCAGCGA